ACGUAGGGUGCAAGCGUUAAUCGGAAUUGCUGGGCGUAAAGCGUGCGCAGGCGGUUUUGUAAGCCAGAUGUGAAAGCCCCGGGCUCAACCUGGGAAUGGCAUUGAAAACUGGCGGGCUUGAGUCUGGCAGAGGGGGGUGGAAUUCCGCGUGUAGCAGUGAAAUGCGUAGAGAUGCGGAGGAACACCGAUGGCGAAGGCAGCCCCCUGGGCCAAGACUGACGCUCAGGCACGAAAGCGUGGGGAGCAAACAGGA
This 253-nucleotide ribosomal RNA is filed under the name uncultured prokaryote. Its description in RNAcentral is "partial 16S ribosomal RNA". It matches the Rfam family "Bacterial small subunit ribosomal RNA", at positions 525 to 777 of the family's 1533-position model. The record is from RNAcentral.